UCUGAAUCUGCGUACGGCUCCGCAAACCAGUUGUAAACUAUUGCUAGCACGCUCAUCGUCUUCGGAUGGUGGGCUAUAAGGAUAACCCUGGUAAUUCUGAGGCUAAUACUCGACCGUAAAACUCGCUGGUCUGGGUAACUGGUAAGGCGAGGGACGUGUAAUUGAUCGCAGGAGAUGCCGGGAAAGGAUGCACGUUCUGACCACCAUACAAACAGUAUCCUGGAAGCUCGCAAGGGCAGAAGGGUGUCUGGGUGGCUCUAGCAUUGUGCUUCUGACCUAUCAACUAGAUGGCAGUGUAAGGGACAUGCCAUGGU
This 314-nucleotide ribosomal RNA is filed under the name Diderma alpinum. Its description in RNAcentral is "bacterial SSU rRNA". It matches the Rfam family "Eukaryotic small subunit ribosomal RNA", at positions 80 to 350 of the family's 1831-position model. The record is from RNAcentral. Lineage: Eukaryota; Evosea; Eumycetozoa; Physariida; Didymiaceae. RNAcentral also lists the same sequence under 1 other name.